GUUUGGGUAUAUUGGUAGUACUUCGCUUGUUGUGUGAAUUUUAGAAAGACGUGUGUAUAUUUCAAACUCUGUUUACUAUACUGACGUUAGGCAUACAUGUUAGCGCAAUAAUCAUACGACCGUUUUCUUUGAUGAUUUUGUUUUGUUUUUGUUUAGCAUGAAACGCAAGUGUAUAGACGGGACUGGUUUUAAUCAGACUGGUUUUUGUUUAUAUUUGUUUCCAUAUUAACUAUUUUU
Molecule: long non-coding RNA, 237 nt
Filed under: Mytilus galloprovincialis (Mediterranean mussel)
Lineage: Eukaryota; Metazoa; Mollusca; Bivalvia; Mytilida; Mytilidae
Source: RNAcentral